This 796-nucleotide ribosomal RNA is filed under the name uncultured bacterium. RNAcentral's name for it is "bacterial SSU rRNA". It matches the Rfam family "Bacterial small subunit ribosomal RNA", at positions 653 to 1441 of the family's 1533-position model. The record is from RNAcentral.
AGAGGAGAGUGGAAUUCUGGUGUAGCGGUGAAAUGCGUAGAUAUCAGGAGGAACACCGGUGGUGUAGACGGCUCUCUGGACCGUAACUGACGCUGAGACACGAAAGCGUGGGUAGCAAACAGGAUUAGAUACCCUGGUAGUCCACGCCCUAAACGAUGCAUAUUUGGUGUGGGUCAUUCAGUUGAUCUGUGCCGGAGCUAACGCGUUAAAUAUGCCGCCUGGGGAGUACAGUCGCAAGGCUGAAACUCAAAGGAAUUGACGGGGGCCCGCACAAGCGGUGGAGCAUGUGGUUCAAUUCGACGCAACGCGAAGAACCUUACCUGGGCUCGAACGGCUGGCUAACGGAGGUGGAAACAUCUUUACCCCGCAAGGGGGUCCAGUCGAGGUGCUGCAUGGCUGUCGUCAGCUCGUGUCGUGAGAUGUUGGGUUAAGUCCCGCAACGAGCGCAACCCUUGUCCUGUGUUGCCAUGUCGCGAUUACAUCAAAACGGAACUCGCAGGAGACCGCCAGCGAUAAGCUGGAGGAAGGUGGGGAUGACGUCAAGUCCUCAUGGCCUUUAUGUCCAGGGUUACACACGUGCUACAAUGGCCGGUACAAAGCGUCCCUAACCCGCGAGGGGGAGGCAAUCGCAGAAAACCGGUCUCAGUUCGGAUUGCAGGCUGCAACUCGCCUGCAUGAAGCUGGAAUCGCUAGUAAUGGCAGAUCAGCACGCUGCCGUGAAUACGUUCCCGGGCCUUGUACACACCGCCCGUCACAUCACGAAAGUGGAUUGUACUAGAAGUCUGCAGGCUGACCC